GUACUAUGAGAGUCCGCUGCUGUGAUGGAGCGGCAGCCAGGGCGCCUUUCCUGAUGCUCUGGACUCUGAAGCUGUGAGCCCGAAUCCUUUCUCCUUGAAGUUGCUGUUGUCAGGAAUUUUGCCUCUGUGACAAGAAAAGGUAUUGAAAUGGCGGUGAUCCAGAAGUAACUGCUAUGACCCCUGUUCCACCUUUUACCCUCCUGCCUUCUGGCAUGGGAUGAUGGGACAAGACCUUUGACCUUGGAUUUCCUAGCACCUCUAGGAUCUCUUCACUGAACCUGGAGCUCAUCAAGUAGGCGAAACUGGAUGGCCUGUGAUCUAACCCCAUCUCCAGGAAUCCUGUCUCUGCUUCUCUAGUUCUGGGAUUAUAAGCACAUGCCACUG
Onychomys torridus (southern grasshopper mouse) is the source of this 384-nucleotide long non-coding RNA. RefSeq lists it as uncharacterized. The record is from RefSeq and is a predicted model, not a curated record. The transcript is spliced from 3 exons. Lineage: Eukaryota; Metazoa; Chordata; Mammalia; Rodentia; Cricetidae.